AGGUGAUCACAGCACAGGGUACAGAAGAGUCCGUGGCCCCAGAGAGGGUCUGGAAGUUGGGAAUAUUCCCUGUCCCGGAAUCAGGAAGCGGGUGAAGGAGGGUGAAGAGAGGACAGGCUGAGCGAGUUUGGGGCCUGCUCCCCAGAUGUCCCAUGUUCUCAGCCCCCAGAUUUAUUAUCCCCUUAUCUCACUUUUGUCCUCCUGGGUUACUGUUUCCUACUUUGUCACUGUUACCUGUCUCCCCCUAGGGCAGAGGUGCACUUUCAGGGUUAGCUUCCAUAGCAUCUUGAAGGGAUUAAUCAACUAGAGCCAGCCAUGAGCACAUUAGCCACACCAGCUGCCUCUAGAAUCUAGAACAGCAUCCUUGGUCCCUAGGUUGUUGUUUAGCUCUAUCCUGUGCUUUGUGUCCUGAUCACUCUCCUUUCAACAUGGACAGGCAAAU
This 442-nucleotide long non-coding RNA is filed under the name Homo sapiens (human). RNAcentral describes it as "HSALNT0226595". The record is from RNAcentral. Lineage: Eukaryota; Metazoa; Chordata; Mammalia; Primates; Hominidae.